AAACAAAAAAACAGUCAUUUCAAUUCCGGGAAGUUUGUCUAGGUUUCCAUUAGUUGCCUUAGCCACGUAACGAAUUUACACUUUACAUACAAGUAUUUUAAUAGGCAAAAUAUGAGGGUCCUCCUCAUCAGUGUUCUGUGUAGGCCAGCGAACAUGGCGGAAACGGGAACUAACCAGACGCAGCAGCAAACAGUUGGACGUGCGUUUGGAUACAGGUGCAGUGAUGAGGUCACAGAGGGGAACCUGCGGGGCGGGGCAUGGCGGCUCUGCGUGUUCUCGGACAAGCCCCCCCUUCCCCCUCGACCCCCCCCAACCCCCCCCCCCCCCCCCCCACCAUCUCCCCGGCUGGAAUCGCGACCUCAUCUCGGCCUGAUAAUGAGCAGGUUUGGAACAUCUCAGAGGCUAGUCUCUUCUACAGCUUUGUCACGGAGUUCAGAUAAUGUUUCAUCAUGCAAGAGGCCAAACGUACAACUUGCCAACUUGAUCCACGAUUGAGAUACUUUGGGCAUUUGCAGUCUGCCUGAAAUUAGCAUCUUGUUUACUAAGGCUACGGCUAAUAGCGUAAUAAGCUACUGGGACUGCCUGCUAUUCACAUUUUGUGAAUGAAGCAGAGCUUGAAAUGUGCUGUUAAAGAAAACAAAGUGCAUUGACUCAUAUAAACUCUGUAAGAGUUGAUUUAACACUGAACACUGUGCUGUGUAUCUUUAUGGGAUGGGGGGGACAUUGAUGUAUUUUCUCGUGCCAUGUAAAAGAAUAUCCAGCACUGUGAACAGCACAGAACGAAAUGCCUAUAUUCCAGCUGUGGCAACAACUGCUGAUUGAAUUGGUCCGAAUGUGAGAGAGUGUAAUGUUGCAAGCAGCUUUACUGUUGCCAGGAUAGAAGGAGAACAUGUGGGAGGUUCGAGGCCAUCUUUUACUUCUUCCAGAAGAGUUAUUAUUUCUGUGGCUGGGUUUUUCUCACAGAAGUCACCGGUGUCACAGAUUCCAUUCUUUUUGUCUUUUUUUUGGUAUUGCCAUGAAUUUCACCAUUUCCAUGAUUUUUCGAGCGCUGUUCCUGUAACUAGGUAAUGUUGUCAGUGACAACAGGCGCUCAAAGACUCAAACCUCGCAACGUGUACCAAAUCUAACUU
Anguilla rostrata (American eel) is the source of this 1130-nucleotide long non-coding RNA. RefSeq lists it as uncharacterized. Lineage: Eukaryota; Metazoa; Chordata; Actinopteri; Anguilliformes; Anguillidae. The transcript is spliced from 3 exons. The record is from RefSeq and is a predicted model, not a curated record.